Non-coding RNA from Apis mellifera (honey bee), 46 nucleotides. The record is from Rfam. NCBI's taxonomy places the organism in Eukaryota, Metazoa, Arthropoda, Insecta, Hymenoptera, Apidae.
AAAACGGCUCUUUUAAGAGCCACAAAAUAUAAACGAAAGAGUAUCU